Molecule: long non-coding RNA, 838 nt
Organism: Nannospalax galili (Upper Galilee mountains blind mole rat)
Lineage: Eukaryota; Metazoa; Chordata; Mammalia; Rodentia; Spalacidae
Exons: 5
Source: RefSeq, a predicted model, not a curated record
CAGCUCCGUGUCCUUGGCUCACCUUGAUGGCAAAGAGUGUUUAUUUUCAGGUUAAUUGAAAAUAGUUUCCUGUAUUUUAAUGAAAGCUCAUCAAACUACAUCCUGAUAGAAUAUACUGUUUAAAUUCUGUUUGAAAAGAAAAAGACUCUGCAUAUCUUCCUCAACAAAAACCAUAUUCUAAAGAUGAAAGAGAAGAGGAGACAGAAAAAGAGUGGACGGAACUCUGAAAUGCCAUCUUGAGUCUAUGUGAAGUCCUUUGUCCUUUGUCCUUAUGAAGACUAUCAGGAUUUGAAAGUCUGCUUUCAGGUGAAGGAUGCAAAUAUUCCAAGGGAGGUCUCCAAAAUUCAUCUCUCUCUUCUGUCUCAGGAUCAACGACAGGUAUCAGAGUGGAUUUCUGCUGUGGUCACCAAGAUGUGAACACAUAAGAGUCCAGGUUAAGGCUAUGGGUGGCUGUGACAGCCAUUGCAGUUACUUUUGCCCGCAUAUUUGCAUAUAUUGGUUAUCUCUGCCAGCCCUUCACAGAACUUCCUAUCAGGAAGAUAGUUAUAAUGAUAUAACAAGGCUCUGCAUCACCUGCAGGAUGAAUUCAGCCCCAUGGUAUGACAUUCCUGCUGUCCUGGCUCACCUGCUACCACCUGCUAUUUCUGCUUCACAGUGGUCUUAUUAGGAAUGGGAGAAUAUAAUAUGGCUUUUACAUGGAAGUGACAUAAUGAAAGAGCAAUAUUAGCUGUUUUUCUCUGUAAGAAAGAUUAAAAAGUAAAAUGUCAACAUAUUUUCUUUGAAGUUAAUUGACAUGGAUUUGAAUCCUAGAUUUUCUACCAAAUGUGAGUUUGGCUAA